GACGUAGGGGGCGAGCGUUGUCCGGAUUUAUUGGGCGUAAAGCGCGCGUAGGCGGCCGCGCAAGUCGGAUGUGAAAACCCGGGGCUCAACCCCGGGCCUGCAUUCGAUACGGGCAGACUAGAGUUCGGUAGGGGAGUCUGGAAUUCCUGGUGUAGCGGUGAAAUGCGCAGAUAUCAGGAGGAACACCGGUGGCGAAGGCGGGACUCUGGGCCGAUACUGACGCUGAGGAGCGAAAGCGUGGGGAGCAAACAGG
This 253-nucleotide ribosomal RNA is filed under the name uncultured bacterium. RNAcentral's name for it is "partial 16S ribosomal RNA". It matches the Rfam family "Bacterial small subunit ribosomal RNA", at positions 524 to 776 of the family's 1533-position model. The record is from RNAcentral.